UCCCGGCGGUCCAAGUCGCAGCCACAAUUAUUGGGUCUAAAACAUCCGUAGCUUGCUUUGUAAGUCUGUUGUGAAAUUCUGUCUCUUAAGGGCAGAGAUUGCAAUGGAUACUGCUUAGCUAGAGACCGGUGGACGUAAGAAGUACAUUUGAGGUAGUGGUAAAAUACGUUAAUCUCAGAUGGACUAACGAUUAGCGAAGGCAUCUUACGAUGACGGUUCUGACAGUGAGGGAUGAAGGCUAGGGG
Molecule: ribosomal RNA, 245 nt
Filed under: uncultured archaeon
Lineage: Archaea
Description: partial 16S ribosomal RNA
Rfam family: Archaeal small subunit ribosomal RNA
Source: RNAcentral